RNAcentral lists this ribosomal RNA (253 nucleotides) under uncultured Gemmata sp. Its description in RNAcentral is "partial 16S ribosomal RNA". It matches the Rfam family "Bacterial small subunit ribosomal RNA", at positions 524 to 776 of the family's 1533-position model. Lineage: Bacteria; Pseudomonadati; Planctomycetota; Planctomycetia; Gemmatales; Gemmataceae. The record is from RNAcentral.
GACGAACCGUGCGAACGUUGUUCGGAAUCACUGGGCUUAAAGGGCGCGUAGGCGGGCAAGCCAGUCCGGGGUGAAAGCCUUCGGCUCAACCGGAGAAGUGCCUUGGAUACUGCUUGUCUAGAGGGAGGUAGGGGUCGCGGGAACUUCCGGUGGAGCGGUGAAAUGCGUUGAUAUCGGAAGGAACGCCGGUGGCGAAAGCGCGCGACUGGAUCUCUUCUGACGCUGAGGCGCGAAAGCUAGGGGAGCAAACGGG